AAGCAUGGGAAGGUCUUGGAACCUGCCCAGCUGGUCUGCCAUCAAUCAGCUUGGGGCUCUCACACCCUUUGGUGCCACUUACUCUGGUGCUUGAUUUCAGAGACUGAAUCCAUUAUCAUCACGGCGGGAGCUUGGUGACAUGUAGACAGACAUGUUUCUGGAGAAGUAGCUGAUCGUUCUACACCUGGAUCUGCAGGCAGCAGAAAGAAAGAGCAUUGCUGGGCCUGGCUUGGGCUUUUGAAACCUCAAAGCCCACCGCCAGUGACACACUUCCUCCAACAAGGCCACACCUCCUAGUUCUUCUCAAGUAUUGCUACUCACUGAUGACUGAGCAUUCAAGUCUGUGAGCCUAUACGGCCAUCUCAUUCAAGCCACCACACAGGGCCUCAUUAAGUUGUCCAGGCUGUCUGAACUCACUCCCUGUAGCCCAAGCAAACAUUGAAUUUGCAAUCCUGCUACCUCAACCCCCGGCUGACACUACCAGGUCAUCUAAAUGCUCACUUUUUAAAAAUUGUGUGUUUGUUUCGGGACAGGGUCUUGCUAUGUCAUCAUGGCUGGCCUGGAACUUGCUAUGUAGAUCAGGCUGUCCUCAAACUUGUGAUGAAAUUCUACCUUUCCCUCCCGUCAUGAGCCAUCAUACUUGCCUCAAUAUUCACUUUAUUUAUUUUUAUUUUUAUUUUUGUUUUUUUUUUUUCGAGACAGGGUUUCUCUGUGUAGCUUUGGAGGCUGUCCUGGAACUAGUUGUUGUAGACCAGGCUGGCCUCGAACUCACAGAGAUCCACCUGCCUCUGCCUCCCGAGUGCUGGGAUUAAAGGUUUGUGCCACCAACACCCGGCUUUAAAUAUUCACUUUAAAUGAUUACAUUUUGUAAAUUUCAACUCAAUGUUAAAGUACCGAUGAUGGGGAAAAUACUUCUGAGUAUGUUCAUCUUAUUGAUUGUUGAAUAAAGUACUGUUUGGCCAAUGAAGCAGCAAGUUAGAUGGGAUUAGGAGUCAAAGAGGAUUCUGGGAAAUGUAGUAGAGAUGUGGUGAUGGAGGCAGGAAGGGACAUAGCAAGGAAACUCAUAUUUAAGGAAGGAGAAGUAGGAAGUGGUCCCUCAUUCCCCUCAGCUCUUCCUCCAGCAGCUUGAUGUGAUCCACCAGCAAGGGAGGAUACCAAUGGAAGGUGUCUGAUAAGUCAUAAAGUAUAUAGAUUUAUGAUAAUUAAGACUGAGCUAGCAGAUGAGAAGUCCUAGUCAUUGGCCAAG
RNAcentral lists this long non-coding RNA (1246 nucleotides) under Cricetulus griseus (Chinese hamster). RNAcentral's name for it is "lncRNA (ENSCGRG00015032748.1)". Lineage: Eukaryota; Metazoa; Chordata; Mammalia; Rodentia; Cricetidae. The record is from RNAcentral.